Molecule: ribosomal RNA, 253 nt
Filed under: uncultured bacterium
Lineage: Bacteria
Description: partial 16S ribosomal RNA
Rfam family: Bacterial small subunit ribosomal RNA
Source: RNAcentral
UACAGAGGGGGCAAGCGUUGUUCGGAAUUACUGGGCGUAAAGGGCGCGUAGGCGGCCCGCUAAGUCGAACGUGAAAUCCCCAGGCUCAACCUGGGAACUGCGUCCGAUACUGGCAGGCUUGAAUCCGGGAGAGGGAUGUGGAAUUCCAGGUGUAGCGGUGAAAUGCGUAGAUAUCUGGAGGAACACCGGUGGCGAAGGCGGCAUCCUGGACCGGUAUUGACGCUGAGGUGCGAAAGCGUGGGGAGCAAACAGG